GGGGAGGUGCCGGAGUUGGUCGAACGGGACCGCCUGCUAAGUGGUUGUAGGGCCUUUAAAGCUCUACCCAGGGUUCGAAUCCCUGCCUCCCCGCCU
This 96-nucleotide transfer RNA is filed under the name Chloroflexota bacterium. RNAcentral's name for it is "Chloroflexi bacterium (hot springs metagenome) tRNA-Ser". It matches the Rfam family "tRNA". Rfam says of the family: Transfer RNA (tRNA) molecules are approximately 80 nucleotides in length. Their secondary structure includes four short double-helical elements and three loops (D, anti-codon, and T loops). The record is from RNAcentral. Lineage: Bacteria; Bacillati; Chloroflexota.